AUUGAACGCUGGCGGCAGGCCUAACACAUGCAAGUCGAACGGUAGCACAGAGAGCUUGCUCUCGGGUGACGAGUGGCGGACGGGUGAGUAAUGUCUGGGAAACUGGCCGAUGGAGGGGGAUAACUACUGGAAACGGUAGCUAAUACCGCAUAAUGUCGCAAGACCAAAGAGGGGGACCUUCGGGCCUCUUGCCAUAGGAUGUGCCCAGAUGGGAUUAGCUUGUUGGUGAGGUAAUGACUCACCAAGGCGACGAUCCCUAGAUGGUCUGAGAGGAUGGCCAGCCACACUAGAGCUUAGACACGGUCCUGAGUCCUACGGGAGGCAGCAGUGGCGAAUGUUGCACAGUAGGCGCAAGCAUGGUGCAGCCAUCCCGCGUGUGUGAAAGAAACCUUCGGGGUGUAAAGCCCGUUCAGCGGGGGGAAAGGCAAUGCGGUUAAGAACCAUCUUGAUUGACGUUACCCGCAAAAGAAGCACCGGCUAACUCCGUG
RNAcentral lists this ribosomal RNA (488 nucleotides) under uncultured bacterium. RNAcentral's name for it is "partial 16S ribosomal RNA". It matches the Rfam family "Bacterial small subunit ribosomal RNA", at positions 30 to 507 of the family's 1533-position model. The record is from RNAcentral.